Molecule: long non-coding RNA, 1790 nt
Filed under: Salmo salar (Atlantic salmon)
Lineage: Eukaryota; Metazoa; Chordata; Actinopteri; Salmoniformes; Salmonidae
Description: lncRNA (ENSSSAG00000093599.1)
Source: RNAcentral
GAGCAAAUUAGAAUCCAAGGAAGUUGACAUGUCAUCACUUCAUUUUUUGUGCCUGCGCAUAAAUCUGAGAAACGUGAGUUUGUCAUCAUUUUUAUCUAGACAUAGGAUAGGUUGUGUGAAAAUAUUACUGAUGUUUAACGUUAAAAAUGGACCAAAAGAUUAAUGCUAAACAACAUUUGACAUGUUUGAACGAACAUAAAUAGAUUAUUUACUAGGUUUUUUAGCUUUUCGGCGUGAUUUUACCAGCCCCCAACCACGUUUUGUGGGAGCAUAAUGAACGCUAAGUACUUGGUGUUAUUUGGACAUAAAUUAUGAACUUUGUCAAAAGAAACCACAUUUGUUCCGGACCUGGAAUGCCUUCCGGACCUGGGAUCCUGCCUUCUGAUGGAGAUAAUCAAAGGCCGGUGGUGGCUGGCCCGCUCCAGGAGUCUGAGGUGCGGGAGGUUCCUCCUCCCCAGGCGUACUCCGUUCGCUCCAGGCGUCGGGCGAGGGGCCUUCAGUAUCGCGUGGAGUGGGAGGGGUACGGUCCGGAGGAGAGGUGAUGGGUUCCAGUCGAGGACGUGUUGGACCCUUCACUGCUGCAGGAGUUCCACCAUCUUUGUCUGGAUCGCCCUGCGCCUCACCCUCCGGGUCAUCCCCGAGGCCGGUGUCAGCGUGCUGCUGAGGCUGCGCGUCGGGGGGAACUGUCAUGACUUCCGCCAAAGUUGGUUCCUCUCCUUGUUCGAGCGGCGUUCAGCUGUCGGCGUCAUCAAUCCACUUUUCAUUUUCCAUUUGUUUUGUCUUGUCUUCCCACACACCUGGUUUCAAUUCCAUCAUUACAUGUUGUGUAUUUAACCCUCUGUUCCCCCCAUGUCCUUGUCCAGAAUUGUUUUUUGUAAGUGCAUGUGCACGUUUAUCUGGUGUGCGACGGGUUUUGUACCCAUUGAGUGUUUGUUCUGAUUCCGGUGGUUUUUAUUAUUAAACUGCUCCAUUGUAAACACAGUUUUUGCUCUUACAUUUUAGUCAUUUAGCAGACACUCUUAUGCAGAGCGACUUACAGUAGUGAAUGCAUACAUUUCAUUUCAUAAUUUUUUUUUUCUGUGCUGGCCCCCCGUGGGAAUCGAACCCACAACCCUGGAGUUGCAAACACCAUGCGUUGCAAACACCAUGCUCUACCAACUAAGCUACAGGGAAGGCCCUCUUCUGCGCCUGACUUCUUUGCUGCCAGUAUGCACCCCUUACAAUACCGUAUAAUAUUAAAGAUUACACCAGCUGUGACACAGGAAGGCGAGGAAACCCCAGGGUACCAUGGAAACCUCAAGGGAGAGUAAACGAGAGAGUCCCUAUAAAGUAGGCCAGCAGUGGGUCAAACUUUCAGCCUAUAACAAUAUUGAUGAUGAUUGUGGUGAUUAUAGUCAUGUAUAGAAGAAGUGAAUAAUAUGUCACAGGUAAUUUAAGAAUCUAAGAGCAGCUGUAGAGAUAAACAUAAUUCAUGAAUCAUGACCGAGUGAUAACAAUUUGACAUGGACUAAUCUCUUUCUAAUGGAAUUUUUCAAAGCUAUAUCCCUCCUUUCCCCAAUAGUUGACAAUUCCUGUUAAUUAUGAACUUUCUCUCUCCUCACUUGGGUAGCCAUUCUGAAUAAUUACUUGAGUCAAUGACCAUAACAAAAGUGAAAAGAUUGAUAAAUGUGGUUUUGAUUCAGGCUAGAGAUUCAGGCGCACAGAUUGAUGACGUUGCGGAAAGCUCUUUUAAUUGACUGCCACGUGCAGUCAGUCAACUGCUACAAUCUUUGCUAGCUGCUUUCUGAAGG